GUGAGGAAUAUUGCGCAAUGGAGGCAACUCUGACGCAGCCAUGCCGCGUGCAGGAAGAAGGCGCUACGCGUUGUAAACUGCUUUUAACCGGGAAGAAACCCCAGGACGUGUCCUGGGUUGACGGUACCGGAGGAAUAAGCACCGGCUAACUUCGUUCCAGCAGCCGCGGUAAUACGAAGGGUGCAAGCGUUAUCCGGAUUCAUUGGGUUUAAAGGGUGCGUAGGCGGAGCGUUAAGUCAGUGGUGAAAUCCUGCAGCUUAACUGUAGACUUGCCAGUGAUACUGGCGCUCUUGAGUGCGCUUGAAGUGGGCGGAAUGUGCCGUGUAGCGGUGAAAUGCUUAGAUAUGGCACAGAACACCAAUUGCGAAGGCAGCUCACUAAGGCGAUACUGACGCUGAGGCACGAAAGCGUGGGGAUCGAACAGGAUUAGAUACCCCUGUAGUCC
RNAcentral lists this ribosomal RNA (445 nucleotides) under uncultured bacterium. RNAcentral describes it as "bacterial SSU rRNA". It matches the Rfam family "Bacterial small subunit ribosomal RNA", at positions 354 to 796 of the family's 1533-position model. The record is from RNAcentral.